RNAcentral lists this ribosomal RNA (446 nucleotides) under uncultured bacterium. RNAcentral describes it as "bacterial SSU rRNA". It matches the Rfam family "Bacterial small subunit ribosomal RNA", at positions 331 to 792 of the family's 1533-position model. The record is from RNAcentral.
CCAGACUCCUACGGGAGGCAGCAGUGGGGGAUAUUGCACAAUGGGGGAAACCCUGAUGCAGCGACGCCGCGUGGGCGAAGAAGUAUUUCGGUAUGUAAAGCCCUAUCAGCAGGGAAGAAGAAAUGACGGUACCUGAAGAAGAAGCCCCGGCUAACUACGUGCCAGCAGCCGCGGUAAUACGUAGGGGGCAAGCGUUAUCCGGAUUCACUGGGUGUAAAGGGAGCGUAGACGGCGGCGCAAGCCAGAUGUGAAAGCCCGGGGCUCAACCCCGGGACUGCAUUUGGAACUGUGCCGCUAGAGUGUCGGAGAGGCAGGCGGAAUUCCUAGUGUAGCGGUGAAAUGCGUAGAUAUUAGGAGGAACACCAGUGGCGAAGGCGGCCUGCUGGACGAUGACUGACGUUGAGGCUCGAAAGCGUGGGGAGCAAGCAGGAUUAGAUACCCUUGUA